This 65-nucleotide transfer RNA is filed under the name Glyptotermes satsumensis. RNAcentral describes it as "tRNA-Arg". The record is from RNAcentral. Lineage: Eukaryota; Metazoa; Arthropoda; Insecta; Blattodea; Kalotermitidae.
AAGCAAGAAGCGAAAAUCGCCAUCAGUUUCGACCUGAUUAUUGGUAGUAAUUCUACCCUUACUUU